Capsicum annuum is the source of this 660-nucleotide long non-coding RNA. RefSeq lists it as uncharacterized. The record is from RefSeq and is a predicted model, not a curated record. The transcript has 2 exons. Lineage: Eukaryota; Viridiplantae; Streptophyta; Magnoliopsida; Solanales; Solanaceae.
UUCAAAAAAAACAAUAAUUUCCUCUUUCUUCCUCUAUUCUUAAUAUCCACCAUUUUUUGUCUUAAGUUCUCCUUCUCCUCUUAAAUUUCUUUUUCGCCUUUUCUAUUGCUCCGCUUAAAUUCUCAUACUCUUAUUAAUUGUUUCUUCUUACUCGUUUUUAGUAGCAAUGUCCAAUUCACCUUUUUCAUUGUCUUCAUCUUCUUCAAUUGCAAAGAAGUAUGUUUAUGUGGGGUAAAAGCUGAAAUUAAGACCUCAUGAACACAACUCAACACUAGUCAGAGAUUUUUUUGCUGCAAAACUUCAAAGGCGAGAGGUGAAUGCAAUUAAUUCGAUUGGUAUGAUGAAGAAAUGCCUCCUCAAGCAAAGAGGGUGAUAUGGGGUUUAUUGAAAAAAGUCAAAUCAUUUGAAGAAGCGAGGAAUCGAUCAAGAAAAUUUAAAGUGAUAUGCGUUGGUGCAAUAGUGAUUUUGGCUACAUGAAAUUUCUUCAAGAAAUGUUCUUAGAUUUUGACAAAUAUUGACUUAGGUUUCUUAUAUAUGGGACUAUUUUGAUUUGGCUAAUUUUGAAAUAAAUUACUUGUAUGAGACUGUUUUGCUUUGGCUUUCCUGUUGUAGUAGGUUUGUUGUGUAUGAAACAAAUGAGAAGGAAUAAAGAUAAGUUGU